RNAcentral lists this ribosomal RNA (1359 nucleotides) under uncultured bacterium. Its description in RNAcentral is "bacterial SSU rRNA". It matches the Rfam family "Bacterial small subunit ribosomal RNA", at positions 28 to 1381 of the family's 1533-position model. The record is from RNAcentral.
GAUGAACGCUAGCUACAGGCUUAACACAUGCAAGUCGAGGGGCAUCAGGAAGAAAGCUUGCUUUCUUUGCUGGCGACCGGCGCACGGGUGAGUAACACAUAUCCAACCUGCCCUUUACUCGGGGAUAGCCUUUCGAAAGAAAGAUUAAUACCCGAUGGCAUAAUGAUUCCGCAUGGUUUCAUUAUUAAAGGAUUCCGGUAAAGGAUGGGGAUGCGUUCCAUUAGGUUGUUGGUGAGGUAACGGCUCACCAAGCCUUCGAUGGAUAGGGGUUCUGAGAGGAAGGUCCCCCACAUUGGAACUGAGACACGGUCCAAACUCCUACGGGAGGCAGCAGUGAGGAAUAUUGGUCAAUGGGCGCUAGCCUGAACCAGCCAAGUAGCGUGAAGGAUGAAGGCUCUAUGGGUCGUAAACUUCUUUUAUAUAAGAAUAAAGUGCAGUAUGUAUACUGUUUUGUAUGUAUUAUAUGAAUAAGGAUCGGCUAACUCCGUGCCAGCAGCCGCGGUAAUACGGAGGAUCCGAGCGUUAUCCGGAUUUAUUGGGUUUAAAGGGAGCGUAGGUGGACUGGUAAGUCAGUUGUGAAAGUUUGCGGCUCAACCGUAAAAUUGCAGUUGAUACUGUCAGUCUUGAGUACAGUAGAGGUGGGCGGAAUUCGUGGUGUAGCGGUGAAAUGCUUAGAUAUCACGAAGAACUCCGAUUGCGAAGGCAGCUCACUGGACUGCAACUGACACUGAUGCUCGAAAGUGUGGGUAUCAAACAGGAUUAGAUACCCUGGUAGUCCACACAGUAAACGAUGAAUACUCGCUGUUUGCGAUAUACAGUAAGCGGCCAAGCGAAAGCAUUAAGUAUUCCACCUGGGGAGUACGCCGGCAACGGUGAAACUCAAAGGAAUUGACGGGGGCCCGCACGAGCGGAGGAACAUGUGGUUUAAUUCGAUGAUACGCGAGGAACCUUACCCGGGCUUAAAUUGCAGUGGAAUGAUGUGGAAACAUGUCAGUGAGCAAUCACCGCUGUGAAGGUGCUGCAUGGUUGUCGUCAGCUCGUGCCGUGAGGUGUCGGCUUAAGUGCCAUAACGAGCGCAACCCUUAUCUUUAGUUACUAACAGGUCAUGCUGAGGACUCUAGAGAGACUGCCGUCGUAAGAUGUGAGGAAGGUGGGGAUGACGUCAAAUCAGCACGGCCCUUACGUCCGGGGCUACACACGUGUUACAAUGGGGGGUACAGAAGGCAGCUAGCGGGUGACCGUAUGCUAAUCCCAAAAUCCUCUCUCAGUUCGGAUCGAAGUCUGCAACCCGACUUCGUGAAGCUGGAUUCGCUAGUAAUCGCGCAUCAGCCACGGCGCGGUGAAUACGUUCCCGGGCCU